AAAAAUGUUGGUAGGUCAUACGUUGGGCACUAAAUCAUCAAUUCCGAAAAAGAAGCAUGAAUUGGUAAUAUUUGAUGUUAUUUCAAUAUUUUUUGUCUUUAAUCAUGUAUUAAACUUCUAUGAAUAGAGUAUUUCUUGAAUUAUGUACUACCAGUGGCGAAGCCAGGAUGUUUUGUCAGUGGGGUCGAAAUUAUUACUGAGUUA
This 204-nucleotide long non-coding RNA is filed under the name Panax ginseng (ginseng). RNAcentral's name for it is "long non-coding RNA (PGIN_LNC013106)". Lineage: Eukaryota; Viridiplantae; Streptophyta; Magnoliopsida; Apiales; Araliaceae. The record is from RNAcentral.